Cordylochernes scorpioides is the source of this 74-nucleotide non-coding RNA. NCBI's taxonomy places the organism in Eukaryota, Metazoa, Arthropoda, Arachnida, Pseudoscorpiones, Chernetidae. The record is from the annotation of a GenBank genome assembly.
UCCAGGGUAGCCUAGUGGACAUGGCAUCUGCCCGGUAAGCGGAAGGGUCGUGGGUUCGAUUCCCGCCCCUGGAC